Long non-coding RNA from Gallus gallus (chicken), 760 nucleotides. Lineage: Eukaryota; Metazoa; Chordata; Aves; Galliformes; Phasianidae. The record is from Ensembl.
GUGGCUCCAGUAGGUGGCUAAAAAGACAGACAGAUGUUUAAGUAAUCUUGAGCACAUUAUUUUUAUGAAAGCCAGAAAUGAAGGUUAUGAGUUUGGGCAUCUCAAAGUUGGUAAUUUCCAAUCAGCAGCUUAAGGACUUAUGCAGAGAGUGUAAGCAGUCAGCAAGGAACCAGGGAAAAUAAUAGUAGGGACACCAGACGUGCCUGCAAUAUUCCAGUAUCAAUUUCAUCAAUACUACGUACACAGAAGGAUCUCAACAGGCUGAAGAGAUAAGCAGAGAGGAACCUCUUGAAAUUCAACAAAAACAAGUAGAGGGCAGAGAUCCCAUGCACAGGGGAAUGGAGCACCUCAUGUAUGAGAAAAGGCUUGGGGAACUGAUACUGUUCAGCCUAGAGAAGAGAAGGCUCUGGAGAGGAUCUCAUCAAUGUGUAUCUGAAAGGAAAAAUGGCAAAAGGUUCUUUUCAAUCAUGUCCAGCACCAGGAGGAGUGGCAACGAGCACAAACUGAAACAGAGGAAGUUCUGGCUGAACGUAAAGAAAAAUGUACUUACUGUGAAGAUGACAGAGAACAGGAACAGUUUGCUGAGAGAGGCUGUGGAAUCUUUUCCUGGAGAUAUUCAAAAGCCAUCUGGGUAACGUGCUACAGGGGAUGCUGUUUGAGCAGGGGAGUUAGACUAGAUGAUCUCCAGAGGUCCCUUCCAACCUCAACCAUUCUGCGAUUCUGUGAUUUAUGUUUGAAUUGGACUUCCAGCCAUCUUCCA